RNAcentral lists this ribosomal RNA (313 nucleotides) under uncultured Glomus. Its description in RNAcentral is "SSU rRNA". It matches the Rfam family "Eukaryotic small subunit ribosomal RNA", at positions 569 to 886 of the family's 1831-position model. The record is from RNAcentral. Lineage: Eukaryota; Fungi; Glomeromycota; Glomeromycetes; Glomerales; Glomeraceae.
AGCAGCCGCGGUAAUUCCAGCUCCAAUAGCGUAUAUUAAAGUUGUUGCAGUUAAAAAGCUCGUAGUUGAAUUUCGGGGUCAGCAUGUCGGUCGUGCCACUGGUACGUACUGGCGUUGCUGAUUCCUCCCUCUUGACGAACCGUAAUGCCAUUAAUUUGGUGUUGCGGGGAAUCAGGACUGUUACUUUGAAAAAAUUAGAGUGUUUAAAGCAGGCAUGCGCUUGAAUACAUUAGCAUGGAAUAAUGAAAUAGGACGUUCGAUCCUAUUUUGUUGGUUUCUAGGAUUGACGUAAUGAUUAAUAGGGAUAGUUGGG